GUCCAUCAGAGCUGAGCUGCUUUCAGACGACUCCGUCUUGUUGUGGAUGCUGAAGCUGAUCAUGGUUCUCCUGUGGAUGAUCCUGUUGGUGCUUCUGCUCUGUGCAGAGGCCGAGAACGUGACCGAGGUCGGAGGAGAGCUGGGGACCAAUAUCACUCUAACCUGCUCCAAUCAGACAUCAGACCCAUACUGGUACAUGGAGAUCUACAGUCAGUUCAGAGCAGGUAUCGGUCGCAGUUUUUCCUCAGCAGACUCUACCUACUACUCUCCUGGUUUUGAAACCAAAUUUUUAAUCCUGGGAAACAAACUCGUGAUUAAAAGCUUGACAGCAGAGGACUGCAGGCUUUACUUCUGUGGCAUCAAGAGAGGAGGCAGCAUUCAGUUUGUGGAGACUUUCCGCGUCAUCUCAGGUAAGUGCCAGAGUUUAUUUAACUUUAUUAUUUAUUGUUCAGGCCCCAUGAUCCGUUAGUGGUAAAGCAUACUUUGAAAAACCUGACAGUGUCAAGUAAGUGGCAAAGUUUUUGUUUUGUUUUACAUUACGUCCUGUAUGGAGUAACACAGUGUGAAGUAGCUUCAUUCUCGCAUCAUGGGCUUUUUUUUUUUUUUUUUUAAAUUGACUGAUUUUAAUUUUAUUUGAACAGCUUUCUUUGCGUCUCGCUGGUGUUUAGGUCUGGAUUUCUUUGCAGUACAUUACAUUUUGUAUCAGCACAUCUCAGAGUUAACAUUCUGUUUGCCACUUUCUGAAAUAUUUUCCUCUAUUUCUGUUGAAUGUGAGGUCUUGUUGUGUGUAUGAAAAUACUGCAUUAUGUGGUUAGGUUAUUUUUAAACCGGGUCGGGGAUGAGUUCCUGCCCCAAGUGGAGGAGUUCAAGUAUCUCGGGGUCUUGUUCGCGAGUGAUGGAAGAAGGGAGCCGGAGAUUGACAGACGGAUUGGGGCUGCAGCUGCUGUAAUGCGGACGCUGCACCGGUCCAUCGUGGUGAAGAGGGAGCUGAGUGUAAAAGCGAAGCUCUCAAUUUACCGGUCGAUCUACGUCCCUACCCUCACCUAUGGCCACGAGCUGUGGGUAGUGGCCGAAAGAACGAGAUCGCGGAUACAAGCGGCGGAAAUGAGCUUCCUCCGAAGGGUGGCUGGCCUCUCCCUUAGAGAUAGGGUGAGAAGUUCGGCCAUCCGGGAGGGACUCAGAGUAGAGCCGCUGCUGCUCCACAUCGAAAGGAGUCAGCUGAGGUGGUUCGGGCAUCUGACAAGGAUGCCCCCUGGGCGCCUCCUGGGUGAGGUGUUCCAGGCAUGUCCCACCGGGAGGAGGCCCCGGGGAAGACCCAGGACACGCUGGAGAGAUUAUAUCUCUCGGCUGGCCUGGGAACGCCUUGGUAUUCCCCCGGAUAAGCUGGAGGAGGUGGCUGGGGAGAGGGAGGUCUGGGCCUCUUUGCUUAGGCUGCUGCCCCCACGACCUGGCCUCGGAUAAGCGGUUGAAGAUGGAUGGAUGGAUGGAUGGAUGGAUGGUUAUUUUUAAAUAUCAAUAUUUGUUCUCAACUCCAACCUGCAGAACACCGUUGAGCAGCACAAAUGGGAAUGGUUGUUGGUGAUAAACAAGUGAGGGAACACGUUUUUACCAGCUUAGCAUUUUAUAUCAGCUCUUCGAGGGAACAAGCCAGCAGGAAGCUGCGCUGAGUGAGCCGAUUAAACAAAUAUUCUAAAAAUUUUAAUGUGCAGCUCUUUUGCAUCUGUCUGUUACACUCAGCGGGUUAAAUUUGGAACCAGUUCAGGGUCCAAUUCAUUUAUUAUGUAAGUGGAAAGGGUGCAUCAAUGGUAAUACACACAUGUGCAUAUGCAUACGUAGCUGAUGGUGUGUUACUGAUGGAAAAGUCAUUUCCAUUUUACUGUGCUUACCUUCUAUGUUGAUGAGAGAAAGUACUCAUUAACAUAGCUUUGAAGUGUCAACAUCCAACAGUGUAGAUGCUGCAGUCAGUGAACAUAUUGUAAAUAAACACACAUAAUUAUUCUAAAAAAAAAAAAAAGUAAGUCCUAAAAUUAAACAGAAUUCACUCAUCUGGAAAUUUACUGAAUCCACAGUUUAUCACAUCUACUACUUUUUUUGCCUUUUCUAAGCUUUCCACUUUAAAGGUCAAAGUAGUUGAUCUGAACAUAUCUAACACUUGAUUUGGUGACACUCACUUUCACCACAAAUUCAAGGAAGCGUCUAGCAUGCGAUGUGUACACAUAGCUAUUUUCUCUCUUUUAAAAAACAAAAAGUAAAUUCUCUCAAGGUGUCCUUGGUGUUGUUGGUGGUGAUUGAGUCCACUUUAGGACAGGAGAUAAUAAAUAACGUAACAAGUUUACCAACCAAGAAGUUGUCUCGUGUUUGGAUGCUGUGUCUUUGAAUCUCACUGGUUAGUUUCAUUUGCACUUUAUCUGGUUACAUCUGGUUACAAAAAAACUAAAAACCUGUUUAACUUUAAAAAAGAUGGUAAUUAAAAAUAAAACACUUCACCAUGCACACUUAAAAAUGAAAACUUCCAGUGCACUGUGAGAAUGACAAUGAGACCUCUCAAUCAUCUGAACCUGAUGAGCAAGAAAAACAAACAUAACACGUACAUAUCCACUGCUUUACAAAACUGUUUGCUAGCUAUUGACGCUUAUAGUUGAUCACUUCUAAAUAAUAAUAAAGUUCAAAAACAGUUUUAAAGUGUGAGCUUUACUCUAGUGAAAACGCAAAGAAAGGUCAUGACUUGUGAAUCUAACAGUUUCUCAGCUCAUCUUUCCUCUUUUUUUGUCAGAUGUCACCCUAAACAUCACCGACCCCCAAAUCGACUGCAGACUCAGUCAGCUCAUCAUCAUCUGUGUCUCUGUUACUGUUGUCGUGUUUGUAAUACUGGGUGCUGUUUUUACAGUGUUGUGUUUGAAGAGAAAAUCCAGAAGGAUCCAGAAGAAUAAUGUUUCACUUCACAUCUAUGAGAACACAGACACACUGAGGGCUGCGCAGAACAAGGUGAUCCAGUCCCAACGGGCAAAAGCUCACUGAAAGACUUCUUUACCCGUAAGCUGAAAGAUGUUGCUUUUGUGGACAAUUUGAAUUGUUUCACAUUUAACCCCCAAAAUACAUUUUCAUGCAUUUUUGUCUACUGCAGGACAUAAAUUGACAUUUUGUGUAUUAUCAGGAUUGUAAGAAAACAGCUGCGUACUUAUGAUGUAAAACUUCAUAUAAAAAUGUGAUGUGCUUCAAGUGUCAGCUGGAACCCUUUGAACAUGUGAAGUGCAGCUUAAGAGAGUCUGAAACCUAUUAAGCUAAAAAUUGAAAGCAUGUCUGAAACUUUAAGGGCUGCAUCCACAAGGCACUAAGUGAAUGUGGUAGCACUAUUUAUAACAGUAUCACAUGACUAACUAUAGUGACUGAAGUACAAACAUAUAUAAUGUCAACAGUAAUGUCAACAGCAUAUUGUAUUUGUAGUAGUACGUAUAGAAUUGCAUGUAAACUGCUUAGCAAUACAUACAUUAAAGACUAUUUUUGCGGUUGUACUAAAAGCAGCUCUAAUAAACAGGAUUGUGGGUAAUUGAAGUAGCAUUUGUAGUUUUUAAAGCAGUAUAAUAUUAUGUAUCUGUAAGUUAGCUAACAAUUCUGUUAGCACAAAUACUUCUUUUGUCCAACGCUUGUCUAAAAGUGUAAAAACAAAGCGUGAAAAAGGAAGUGAUUUCCUGAGUUAAUUAUACACUUUCCUGAGAAACAACUACUCACACUGAGGCGGCUCUAAAGCCCAGUGGCCUCCUUUUCUGUUACUCCCUGGAAACUCAGUUAAAUUAGCAUUUCAGACUUUUUUUAAAAGAAUUACUGGAAUACAUGAAUCAUUCAGCUUUGACUGUUCAUCUGCUUUUACCCACAUUGUCCAGCAGCCUACCACACAAUCAGACAUCCUGAUUCAAGAUGUCUGUGUAGCCGAUCUCUCCUGCGUCCACACAGGAAGUGAUGCAUCAGCCAGUGGCAAUAGGUGAUGAAUAACUUUCCACCAGUUCAAGUAAGAAUGAGCAAAAAUAACUGGUGUUUAAUUUGAAAGUUAGCGAGUGAAAUUAUUACAGAUGAGAGUGAAAUAAAGAAUAGAUUGACAUGUGACAUAUGAGGAAAUGCUUUACAGUGGGAUGCAACCUUGGUAAUAGUCAUUGUUUUCCUGUAUAUAUUGUUGGUUGCUACAAUAAAAAGUUUCAGUUAAAUAUAUCAUAUUGAACUACUCUACUAACUACGAUACUCUGAAGCUACACUUCAGAGAAAAUUAAAAGAGGUGGGAAACUUACAAUUGACCCCCUUAAAUACUCUUUCUCAUUAUUGGAUUCACCUGUGUAUGUAGGUCAGGGGUCCCUGAGCUUACCAAGCCAAUUUGAGUUCCAAUAAUUAGUUCUAAAGGUUUUGAAAUCAAUAAAAUGACAACAGUGCCCAAAUUUAUGCACCUGCCUGAUUUUGUUUAAACAAUUAUUGCACACUUUCUGUAAAUCCAAUAAACUUCAUUUCACUUCUCAAAGAUCACUGUGUGUGUCUCCUAUAUCAGCGGUCCCCAACCCCCGGGCCUCGGACCGGUCCCGGUCCAUGAGUCGUUUGGUACCGGGCCGGGAGAGUUGAGGCUCAGGUGUGAAAUGUAUGGUUUUCAAAAAAGGUUGGGGACCGCUGUCCUAUAUGAUAUAUUUAACUGACAUUUUCUAUUGUAACAACCAAUGAUUAAUACAGGAAAACAAUGACUAUUAACAAGGUUGCCCAAACUUUUGCAUCCCACUCUACAUGGUUACUUAGGCAACUGGAUUCAAUUUAGAUAAAUAUGAUUAAAUUAAAGAAAAUCACUGAAAUUGAUUGAACCCUUUUUUGAGUGGAUGGAUUGUAAAAUUACACAGCUUCUGUGACAUGUAAAAACGCUUUUGUGUCAUUUAAAUAUUCAUCUAUUAUUUAUUAACUGGGAGGUUUUGACUUUGGUGUUAUUGGAAAGAGCUUCAUGCUUCCAGAAUUAAAAUCACCCCAUCAAACAGAUGUAGAACCAAAAACAAGUCUUCUUUCAAACAAACUGUACAAAUGACAACACCUGAACAUACCUGAAAUAAAUGAGUAAAUUAAUUUACAAUCACACUGUAUAUAUUUGUUUCAACAUACAGGAAGAACACGUUCUAUAGCUACACUUGCCUGUAGGGGUCACUGCUGAG
Molecule: long non-coding RNA, 5171 nt
Organism: Astatotilapia calliptera (eastern happy)
Lineage: Eukaryota; Metazoa; Chordata; Actinopteri; Cichliformes; Cichlidae
Source: Ensembl